CUGGCCGCGCGCGAUGGUCGCGGAGGAGCCGACCCCUCCGAGGAAAGUCCGAGCUCUAACGGGUAGACUGCCAGGUAACGCCUGGGCGCCGAGAGGCGACGGAUAGGGCAACAGAGAGCAAACCGCCGAUGGCCCGCGCAAGCGGGAUCAGGCAAGGGUGAAACGGUGGGGUAAGAGCCCACCGCGCCGGUGGCAACAGCGGCGGCACGGUAACCCCCAGUCGGAGCAAGGCCAAAUAAGCGGCGAGGUGUGACCCACACCGCCCCCACCCGAGCCUUCGGGCAACGGUGAGCCGCGGGUAGGCUGCUGGAGGCGGUCGGCGACGGCCGCCGGAGACAGAUGACCAUCCCCCGCGGAAACGCGGGGAACAGAACUCGGCUUACGGCGCGACCAGUGCG
RNAcentral lists this RNase P RNA (398 nucleotides) under Gemmatimonadales bacterium. Its description in RNAcentral is "RNase P RNA component class A". It matches the Rfam family "Bacterial RNase P class A". Rfam says of the family: Ribonuclease P (RNase P) is a ubiquitous endoribonuclease, found in archaea, bacteria and eukarya as well as chloroplasts and mitochondria. Its best characterised activity is the generation of mature 5'-ends of tRNAs by cleaving the 5'-leader elements of precursor-tRNAs. Cellular RNase Ps are ribonucleoproteins. Lineage: Bacteria; Pseudomonadati; Gemmatimonadota; Gemmatimonadia; Gemmatimonadales. The record is from RNAcentral.